This 237-nucleotide ribosomal RNA is filed under the name uncultured Acanthamoeba. RNAcentral's name for it is "partial 18S ribosomal RNA". It matches the Rfam family "Eukaryotic small subunit ribosomal RNA", at positions 97 to 279 of the family's 1831-position model. Lineage: Eukaryota; Discosea; Longamoebia; Acanthamoebidae. The record is from RNAcentral.
CUCAUUAAAUCAGUUAUAGUUUAUUUGAUGGUCUCUUUUGUCUUUUUUACCUACUUGGAUAACCGUGGUAAUUCUAGAGCUAAUACAUGCGCAAGGUCCCAAGCGCGGAGGGUAGGGCUUCACGGCUCUAUUCUUGCAUGCGCAGAGGGAUGUAUUUAUUAGGUUAAACAACCAGCAGCCGGCAACGGCUUCAACACUCCUGGUGAUUCAUAGUAACUCUUUCGGAUCGCAUUCAUG